UACGGGGGGGGCAAGCGUUGUUCGGAAUUACUGGGCGUAAAGGGCUCGUAGGCGGCCAACUAAGUCAUACGUGAAAUCCCUCGGCUUAACCGGGGAACUGCGUCUGAUACUGGAUGGCUUGGGUUCGGGAGAGGGAUGCGGAAUUCCAGGUGUAGCGGUGAAAUGCGUAGAGAUCGGGAGGAACACCAGUGGCGAAGGCGGCUACCUGGACCAGCACUGACACUGAAGCACGAAAGCGUGGGGAGCAAACAGG
Molecule: ribosomal RNA, 253 nt
Filed under: uncultured bacterium
Lineage: Bacteria
Description: partial 16S ribosomal RNA
Rfam family: Bacterial small subunit ribosomal RNA
Source: RNAcentral